GAUGAACGCUGGCGGCGUGCCUAAUACAUGCAAGUCGAGCGAACGGACGAGAAGCUUGCUUCUCUGAUGUUAGCGGCGGACGGGUGAGUAACACGUGGAUAACCUACCUAUAAGACUGGGAUAACUUCGGGAAACCGGAGCUAAUACCGGAUAAUAUUUUGAACCGCAUGGUUCAAAAGUGAAAGACGGUCUUGCUGUCACUUAUAGAUGGAUCCGCGCUGCAUUAGCUAGUUGGUAAGGUAACGGCUUACCAAGGCAACGAUGCAUAGCCGACCUGAGAGGGUGAUAGGCGACACUGGAACUGGAACACGGACCAGGCUCCUACGGGAGGCAGCAGUAGGGAAUCUUCCGCAAUGGGCGAAAGCCUGACGGAGCAACGCCGCGUGAGUGAUGAAGGUCUUCGGAUCGUAAAACUCUGUUAUUAGGGAAGAACAUAUGUGUAAGUAACUGUGCACAUCUUGACGGUACCUAAUCAGAAAGCCACGGCUAACUACGUG
Molecule: ribosomal RNA, 497 nt
Filed under: uncultured bacterium
Lineage: Bacteria
Description: partial 16S ribosomal RNA
Rfam family: Bacterial small subunit ribosomal RNA
Source: RNAcentral